This 1511-nucleotide long non-coding RNA is filed under the name Lactuca sativa (garden lettuce). RNAcentral's name for it is "long non-coding RNA (LSAT_LNC008288)". Lineage: Eukaryota; Viridiplantae; Streptophyta; Magnoliopsida; Asterales; Asteraceae. The record is from RNAcentral.
UAGUUAAUAGCAGUUUCAUAAAAUCAACAACAAUACACCAAAACACAUCAUUUAACACUACAUACCAUGUUCAUAUCACAUAAACCAACACUUAAAGUUAUUCUAGAGUAACAGGUUUAGCUUCUGAAUUCCCAGGUGCAUCUGCACCACCAACUUUCUUGCCCAGUUUCAACUUGAUAAUCCUUUCAUAUUUCUUCCUCCUGAUUUUCUUCAACAAGGUUGCAAGUGGUGUUUCUCUAGCCUCCUGUUCUUGCACAUGAACCUAACUAGGUUCUCCAUUAGCUGAUGCAUCAAACUCCAAAGGAGUGAGUUCCACCUCAUCAUAGUCUUGUUGCACAUGCACCUCAUUGGCUGCUUCUCCACCAUCAUUUACUGCUCCUCUAUCAUUGACUGCAUUAGAUUGAUUAUCUUCAACAUCCUCAUUGAGAGCUUCAGCUACACCCUAAUUGACCAAUAUGAAACAUUAUUAGAAAUUUAAAAAGAAAUUGUAAAGAUUAACCAUUUAAAUACUUAUGUACCUGUUUUGUUUUUCUUUUAGCUUUGGUUUUAGGAGGCCUUGUUAAAGUACAAGCUCUUUUGUUGUGUCCUUCAAUCUUACAAAGGCUACAUUUUUGUUUUUUCCUAGCCUUGGAUACCUUUAGCCCUGUCGAAAAUACCCGAUACCCGAAUUAACCGUUCGAUUUUUUCGGGUAUCGGGUAAAUCGGGUUGGGUUAAUCAGGUAUUGGGUAAAUUUUUCCGGGUAAUCGGGUUACCCGAUUUUUUUCGGGUCGGGUAAAGGGUAAAUUUUUUUGGGUUUCGCGUAUACCCGAAUUAUUUUAAAAAUUCCUUUUUUUUGUAGAGCUUGUACUAUAUAGCAGGUAUUUGAUCAUGCUUAAACAAACUAUCAUUAUUGUAAAACAUAAAUAUAUUUAUUAUGACAAUACGACACUAACAAUAUUAAAAGUAAUUUUUAUAUAUCAUCAGUUCUUUAAAACUUAACUGUUUUCUAGAUUAUAGUUUUUAUUGCAACUAACAAACUCCUUAUCUUGACAAAACUUCAGAACAUGGCAAAACUUAUGGCUACAUUUAUCUUAAACAUUUUAAACUUUUAAAUUAAGAUCUUUAGGUAUUUGUUUUUUUAACAUCUUAUUAGAUUAGAUUAAGUUGUUAAAAAAUUACUUGAUAUCUCAUGUAUUAUUGACUAAAAAAUCUCAAUGUUCAAAGCUUGAGUAACUUCAUUUAUGUCUCGUUUGUUUAUAUAAACAAGACUAAUAAAGCACGACAUAUUUAUUUCAUUAAAUUUAUUUUCAGUUGAAAUUAAAAAAAAUUAUANUCGGGUAAUACGAAUUACCCAAACCCGACCCGAUACCCGAAUUACCCGAAUUUAGUUUGGGUAGGGUAACAGGUAAUUUUUCUAACAUGAAAAACCCGAAUUACCCAACCCGAAUUACUUAACCCGAAUUACCCGAAACCCGAAAAAAAAUACCCGUUCAACACCCCUAGAUACCUUCACAUGCUCCUUACCUUUGUU